UAUUUAUUUAAAUACCUUAAUGAAAAGGCAUUAAACAAAUACCAAAGUUUUUAUUAUUUUUCCUAGGGUAUAAGAAUUUUAAUGCAUAAAGGAAAAUAAAACAAUCCUAACAAAAUUGGUUUCACUAAUUUUGGACACUCCUAGAAAUUUCUGUGAUUUUAAAAGGUGAUAAACAAAUUUAAGCUAUUAUUCUAACAAAAGAAAAUCUAAAUUUUUCCCAAAAACCCCCGGCCUUACUUUUCUCACUCACCCCCUCUCUACCCUCUCUCACUCGCGCUGGGCCCGCGAGUCAGGUCCACCUUCUUCUCCUAUUCCCUCUACCCGCCGGCCAUUUCUCUUCUGUCGGGCCAACUGGGCCGAUUCCUCCCCUCUCCUCCUUUCCUAUUUAAGUUCCGGCCCAACGGCCCAACUUCCUUUUUCCUUUCUUUUUCGCGCAGCACCCGGCCUUCCAAGAUGGCCCGACGGCCUCGCACCGGCACCUGGGCCUGCUGGACCCCAGCCCACCUUACUCCUUCGCCCGGCCGACCCUCUUCCUUUCCCUUCUCCUCUAACGUGCGGGCCCCCGAUGCCAGCACCGUCUUCCUCCUCGCGCCAAAACUGCGCACUACAGGGGGCGACAUGGCUCGCCGGCCCGUGCCCCACCGGCGACGGGGCCGAGCUGGGGAAGCAUCCCCAUGCUAUAGCGCACCCGUGCGCAGCGGCAGCUUCCCGGGAGGUGGCCGGAGCUACCCUCUCCACGGCGGCGGGCGGCAAAACUGACGGCCGACCAUGGCCAAGCAUGACGACGGCGUAACUUACCUCUUCAACUCCCCUACAGCUUCCUAGUACCCCAAACUCUCACCUACGGCUCACCACAAAGAAGGACAAUGACGGCAAAGUAAGGCUCACCGUGAGCAGGAAGUUCGGCGGUGGCGGACGGAAACGACGGCGGUUUAGGGUGCACCGGCGGAGAAGCUGGACAACAAGUUGACAGGGCUGUUGGUAGGGUGUGAGUGGAGGUGUGGACGGAAGGAAUCGAUGGGGGAGGCGUUGUGGUGGUGGAAUUUGAUCGGCGGCGAUGGCUGGGCAGAGAACUUACGGGCGGCGGUAAAAAGCAGGGCGGUAAGAAGCGGCGGCGGGAGCGGUAGUUAUUCGAAGGUCUUACCACGCGCAUGGACAACACCGUGGCCUAGUCGUAGGCUGGCGUGGUGAGGAGGUGGCCUAGAGGUUGAGCUGGAUAGCGGGCAAGGGCGCCAGCGGCAACACGUCUCGCCCUCUCUGAUUUCCUUCUUCCCUUUUCUUUCUUUCGUCAGAAUGUUCAGAUCCUCCCCACGGCCAAUUUUGCAUCCAACGGUCCCAAAGUCCCUUAAGCAAACUUGGAGAUAAACCUGAACCCUUCAAUUUAUAUUUUGGCUCCUACUCGAGAUAAUCAUCCCAACACCGACAUUUUUGAGUUUCUAGCUCGGGCCAACUGAAAAGUUUCUGAGUUACUGAUUUAGUUCGACAGUCACCCGAGCAUGGUCAUUUACCCAUCUUUUGAUCCAUUUUCAGUGGCCCAAAUCCAUUCUUCUUAGUCCAACUACUAACCAUCUAUGCUCUACAACCAUCAGGGAUUCCAUUUUGCUCAUAAACACUUAUACCUUUGCACUCCAUCCUUCUGAAUUUCGCUCCAAACUUAGCUACUGAUUUCUAUUUUCAGACUUAGAAAAAGAUUCAGUUCAGCAGCUAGGUCAAACAAGGCAAAGUGCUGACUUUGGGCCCCGAUUUGAAUUUGAUCCCCUUACUGUUCUUAACCAUCAACACCCUAUUAUACUUGCCCAAAGUUCAUACUUCAUCGCUGUAUAGUUGCUUUGGUCCACUUAUUUGGAAAAUUUGGCAGAAAUCAAUUUCCAAGAGGGAUACUUGCACUGUUUUUCUGAAACUCUAUUUUCGGACAGUGAAUAGUAUCCUUCUGAUUUUAUUUUUCAAUUGCAUUUCUUGAGAUGUUUAGGACUAGGUUUAGUCUCCAAUCUUGAUCCCUAAAGUUCUAAACACUCUCAAGCUUCCAUUUCAUAUUUUUGCCCAAUUUUUCUGAAUUUAGAAUUCAAAAUUCAAAUUUUUGUCAAAUUUGACUUGAAUUUGACUUUUAGUCAAUUUCUUCUCUUUUUCACCCAAUGCAUCUUUAACUUUUCUUAGUCACCUUUUGUUAUUGAGACACUAGGUGUUACAGCCUCUCCCCCUUAACAGAAUCUCGUCCUGAGAUUCCAGAGGUUAAACUCUCAGUUUUGAGAAUGGAAAGGAAACUGCAUCAGAUAAAACAUCCUUCUCUUUUCUGUAUAAAGAAAGUGGGGUGGUGGCUUUUAUUUAUCUGAUUUCGACAGUUUCAAAUAGCUCAGGAUAUUUGGACUCUAAGUCUUCGGCCUGUUCCCAAGUAGCUUCAUCUGGAGUAUGAUUCUUCCAUUGUACCUUGUAAAACUUAAUACUUCGAGUUCGGAUAUCUCUUGUCUUUUGAUCCAAAAUUUUAAUAUGCCUUUCCUCAUAGGUCAGGUCUGGCUCGAGCUCAACUUCCAGAUCUUCUAAAAUUUCUUCUGGAACUCUUAAGCACUUCUUAAGCUGGGAUACAUGAAAUACAUCAUGUAUAGAAGCAAGUUGGUCUGGCAACGAAAGCUUGUAUGCCACCGGACCUUUUUGUUCCAGAAUCUCAUAAGGACCAAUAUACCUUGGGGCUAGUUUACCUUUUACUCCAAAACCUUGCACCCCUUUCAUCGGAGAUACUUUCAGGUAUACAAAGUCUCCGACAUGAAAUUCCAAAGACCGUCUUCUUUUAUCUGAAUAGUUCUUUUGUCGGGAUUGGGCUAUUUCAAGAUGUUUUCGAAUCUUUCGAACCUUUUCUUCAGUUUCCACAACCAAAUCUGAUCCUAAAUGUGUCCUUUCUCCUACUUCUAACCAAUUCAAGGGGGUUCGGCAUCUUCGACCAUACAAGGCUUCGAAAGGUGCCAUUUUAAUACUAGCUUGAUAGCUAUUAUUAUAGGAGAAUUCAGCUAGGGGCAAACAUUCAUCCCAUAGCUUUGAGAAAGUAAGGACAUAAGCUCGUAACAUGUCUUCCAAGAUUUGGUUGACUCUUUCUGUUUGUUCCCCUGUUUAAGGAUGAUAGGCAGAGCUUCUAAUCAGAGUAGUCCCCAUAUCUUUUUGCAGUUGUUCCCAAAACCUGGAAACAAACUGGGAGCCUCGAUCGGAAAUAAUUGUUUUUGGUACCCCGUGUAGAGACACAAUCCGGGCCAUAUAGAUCUUUGCAUACGCCGAUACUGGAUAUGUAGUCUUGACGGGAAUGAAAUGGGUUGACUUAGUGAGUCGGUCAACAAUAACCCAUAUGGAAUCAUACCCUUUUGAAGUAGUAGGCAACCCAACUAUGAAGUCCAUGGAAAUAUCUUCCCACUUCCAGACAGGAAUUUCCAAAGGUUGAAGCAAACCAGCCGAUUUUUGUAAGAUUAGUUUAACUCUUCGGCAGGUGUCGCAUUCGGCUACAUAUCUCGCAAUUUCAGGCUUCAUCAUGGCCCACCAAAAUCUCUGCUUCAAAUCUUGGUACAUUUUAUUUCUUCCGGGAUGAAUGGCGAACUUAGAUAGGUGUGCUUCGUCCAAGAUCAUCUUCCUUAGCUUUUCAUCCUUAGGAACUACUAUCCUCUUCUUGAAAUAUAGCCCUCCAUCCUUUUCUCGAGUGAGUUCAGAAAUCUUUCCUUCUGCUUUCUAUUUGUAAAGUACCUUUAUCCAUGGAUCCUCUUUCUAGGCUAUAAUCAUUCUUUCCUUUACAGUGUCUUGCAUGAUAAUGUUCAAGAGGGUACCUUGCGUUACUAUUUCCAAGCUUAAAUCUUCUAAUUCUUCACACAGGGUCUUAAGGCUAGAUUGAAUAGUGGUGCAGUGGCAUUGGGCUUUCCUGCUCAAAGCAUCAGCCACCACAUUAGCCUUACUAGGAUGGUAGUGGAUUUCUAACUUAUAAUCUUUAAUUAGUUCCAACCACCAUCUCUGCCUCAUAUUCAAGUCCAUUUGAGUGAAAAUGUACUUUAAGCUUUUUGAAGCGUCCCCACAUAAGUAGAGACUAAAUGUGAUCCAAUUAUCAGUCCCAGGAGGCUGAUAACACAUUUAUUCAACAGAUAGUUCAGAAACCGUACAACUCCCGAAGGAGCGGGCGGGCAAGCCACACCCAAAGCAUGACUAAAGCGAUAACAAUACAAAUCCAAGUUGCAGUCCAGUCGGACUCCGGGCUGCAAUCAGAACUAAGCGUCAGCGGAAGCAUCCUGCAAAAGGGCAAACACCACAGGCAGCGUUGGGUGCAGACGCAACCUCCUACUCGAAGUCCUCGGCGACGAAGUCCGGAUCCUCCUCUGAAGUAACAACAUAAGAGUGAGUACAAAAGUACUCAGCAAGUCCAACCCCAUCCACGGAGGGGGAUACAUCAAGAAUAUGCAUAUGAAUAAUCAAGGAAUAAGCUAUAGUUUUAUUUGCAGUAAAGCUGAUUUUUAAACACAUGCAGGGUUCCAUUUCAAAGAAGUUUCAUGAAAACAUUUUAGUAAACAACAUAUCAAGUGGGGUUGAUCCUACACAAAGGAUCCAAGUUUUAUCGCUACCGGACUCCCCGUCCGCCGUAGCUCACGGCACACCUGCCGGACACUUCCAAAAUUCCACACACCCACACACGCAGUAAAAUACCAGUCAUCCCUAAAAGCUAGUUGUGUGACCGAGCCGUAACUCGUCCAAUGCCGUGGACACGGCUACCCGGAUAGGUUUUAACUCUGCAGAGGUUGUACACUUUUCCCACAAGUAGGGUACCGUAUCGCGAUCACCUUAGUGACGGUACGGAUCCUAACAAAGCCAUUACCCACCUUAGCCAACACUGACUAGUCAACACAGAAGCACUCAAGGGGUUAGCAACCCAUCCACGGGGCCGAAACCGGGACCUAAGUCACCAAGAGCUUAGUCCUUUUCCAAGGGCUCCCGUUGCUCACCAGCACACCUGAAGCCUAGCAGUUUAGCUAGUGGGGUUUAUGCUAAGCCGUUGCCCAUACAACGGUCGAGUGGUUGCACGAUGAUAGAAUUAGGUAGGAUGACACAUCAACUCGGUCCUUAUUCAUGACAAGAUGGAUAUCUCCCAUUCUGCUCAACCACUAAGGUACGAGCCCAACAAUCCGGCAUUCCACACCAGAAACACCCAUCCAUCUCAUCCACCACCUCUCUUUACACCCGAAACCCCAACUCCUCAGUUAAACAUACUCACACAUUUAUUUUCCGGGUAAACAGGUGUAGUCAUGUUUGAAUUUGGAUAAUGAGUUCCUAAGCAUUCUAGCAGUGUUUAUCAUCUAAACCGAGCAACUCAUAUUUAGAGAUAAAUAUGGGAUAACAAGGAAUAGUCAUAACAAUCAAGGGGUGGCUAUCCAACCAUGUCUUGCGAUAAAACAAUAUGCAUUUUGUAAAACAGGCCAAUAGGUUGUGUCUGGAAAACUGGGUAUUAAAUAUGCAUCAAAGGGUGAGAUUGGACUUGCCGUUCUCAAAGUCUUCCGGGAGCUCCUGCUCGCGGUACUGGUCCUCGAGCUCGGGCUCGCGGUCGAACUCCUCCUUGCGCUCCUCCUCGGGUACUCCGCGAUCUACGGCACACACAAACGAGCACACAAUAAAUAAAAAGGAAAAAGAUAUUACCCGUUGAGCUCCGAACAGGAAAUAUGAACGGAAAAUAGGUAGGAGGAGUAUUUUCAUGGAAUUUUGAUAUGCCUCGGCGGAAACAUAUGAGAGGAGGCUGUGGUCGAAUUUGGGGUGGAUUGGAGGAAAUUUGGCGCAUGAAAUGACGGGUUAAAGGAGUAUUAGGGGCUUUAAAACGAGGUUUAGGACUGAACCGCGAGAGCAGGGGCCUAUUUGUAAUUAUUUUUGGAAUGGUGGGAGGACCUGUUCGCGAAUCAGGGAAACUGGUGGGUUGGAUCGCGAGGAGAGGGAUUUACCCCUUCUUCUUCUUGGAGACAACAGGAGGUGGAGAAAAGGAUGGCUGUCGGCGCUCUGGUGGUGGUGGUGGAGGAAGGCAAGGUGCUCGUGGUGAGGGUGUGGAGGUGCAAGGCUCGGCUCCCCCCCCCCUUUUAUAGGCGACACACGGGCGGGCGAGGGCCGAUGCAAUGAUGGCGGCCGGACCUUUGGCCGGUGGCGUGCCGGAGUGGUGGAGCUCAUGGAUGGCGUGGCGGCGUGGUCGACAAGGCCACAGGAGCGGUCACCGGCGACCGGCGACACGACGCGACGCACCGAGCCAAGCGCUAGACGCCAAGGCGCGAGCGGGCGUGGCACGGGCGACGUGACGCGGCGCGCGCGCGGGCGCGGCGGCGCGCGCGCAGGCGCGCGGCCCGACGUGGCGCGCGGCCCUGCGCGCGUGCGCGCCCCGAGCGCCUCGGCGCGCGUGCCAAGCAGGGGAGGGGUGCAGGCGCAAGUGGGUGGGGUGCUAGGGAAAUAAAGGAGAGAGAGAAGAAAGAGGAAGGGAGAGGAGGAAGAAAGAGAAGGAAAAAGGAGAAGGGAAAGAAAGAGGGAGAAAAAGAAAGAAGGAAGAGAAAGAGAGGAAAGGGAGGGGAAAAAGAUGACGAAAAUUGCGGGAUUCGACUGCGCGCGGUGAUGGACUUGACAGGCACGCGGCGAAAAUUACGGGGAGCGGAAAAAGGAGACUUGACGAGCCGGGGCCAGGAUGGCGGGUCCGACGGAAGGAAAAGGAUUUGACGGAGCUCGGCGGUCGGAAAAAUUUUGGAGAGUAUUUUUAACGGGUGAUUUAACUGGGUGUAUUUUACGGGCGUUACAAACCUACCCCACUUAAAUUGAAUCUCGUCCUCGAGAUUCGGCUGAGUCCUGAACAGAUGGGGAAACUCCUUCUUUAACGCAUCCUCGCGUUCCCAAGUGGCUUCUUCCUCACCAUGCCUACUCCAUUGGACUCUGCAAAUCCGUACUGCUGAAUUCCUUGUCCUUCUGGUGACGGUGUCCAAAAUCUUGAUGGGUACCUCCUGAUAUCGCAGGUCCUUCUGCAAAUCUAUGGUUUCCACCGGUACUUGCUCUUCUGGUACUCUCAGGCAUUUUCUUAGCUGGGACACAUGAAAUACCGGGUGGAUGUCCGACAUUUCUUCGGGCAACUGAAUACGGUAGGCUACCGCUCCAACUCUUUUUAGCACCUUGUAUGGUCCGAUAUACCGAGGGGCCAGCUUUCCUUGCAGUUGGAACCUUCGGGUACCUCGAAUCGGAGAGACCUUAAGGUACACGAAGUCCCCCUCACUGAAAAUCAACUCUCGUCUCCUUUUAUCUGAGUAGCUCUUCUAUCUAGACUGUGCUGCUUUCAACUUCUCUCGUAUUUCAGCUACUCGCUCUUCUGCUUCCUUAAUAAAAGCAGGUCCUACCAAGGUGCGCUCUCCCACUUCCGACCACAUCAACGGGGUCCUGCACUUUCUCCCAUAGAGAGCCUCAAACGGUGACAUGCCUAAGCUGGCUUGGUAACUGUUGUUGUAUGAGAACUCUGCAUAUGGUAGACUCUGUUCCCAAUCCUUGCCAUAAGUAAGGACACAUGCCCUCAACAUGUCCUCCAUGAUCUGAUUUACUCUCUCUGUUUGGCCAUCGGUCUGGGGGUGAUAAGCUGAACUAAAGUCCAGUUUGGUGCCCAUAGCCUUAUGAAGACUCUUCCAGAAUCUAGAGGUAAAUUGGGUCCCUCUAUCCGAAACAAUUCUGCUAGGUACACCAUGCAACUUCACUAUGUUGUCCACUUAGAGCUGAGCUAGCUUUUCUCCUCCAUAGGUGGUCCGUACGGGUAAGUAGUGGGCAACUUUAGUGAGUCGAUCCACUAUCACCCAUAUGGAGUCAUUCCCUUUUUGGGUCCUGGGCAAUCCCACUACAAAAUCCAUGCCAAUCUCGUCCCAUUUCCAAACUAGAAUGGGUAGUGGUUGCAGUAACCCGGCUGGCUUCUGAUGUUCGGCCUUAACCCUUUGGCAAAUAUCGCAAUGAGCGACGAACUGGGCUAUGUCCGCUUUCAUCCUGUUCCACCAGUACUUCUGCUUUAAGUCCAUGUACAUCUUGGUGGAUCCCCGGUGGAUGGAAUAUGCUGAGUUAUGGGCCUCAUCAAUGAUGGUUUGCCGGAAUUCACCUUCCUUGGGUACACAAAUCCUAUUCUUGUACCACAAGGUUCCCUUUUCAUCCAUUCUGAAGUCUAGGGCUUUAUUUUCUCCGGUUUGCCUGCGAAUCCUCACCAGGUCCGAGUCCGAGCCUUGGGCCUCUCGGAUUCUUUCUUCCAGGGUGGGCUGAACACUUAGCUUGCGGCUGGUAUUCUGAGGAAUGAUGUGCACAUUUAAUCGGGCCAUUUCCUCCUGUAAGUGGGGGUCCUUAGGUCCGAUCUGCCCAUAGGAUUUCCUGCUUAAUGCAUCCGCUACCACAUUGGCCUUACCGGGGUGGUAGUGAAUUUCCAGAUUAUAAUCCUUGACCAACUCUAACCAUCUUCUUUGCCUUAAAUUCAGAUUUGGUUGGGUGAAGAUAUAUUUUAGGCUCUUGUGGUCAGUGUAAAUCUCACACUUGUUCCCGAUCAAGUAGUGCCUCCAGAUCUUGAGGGCAUGCACUACGGCUGCAAAUUCCAGAUCAUGGGUGGGGUAAUUUUGUUCAUGGGGCUUAAGUUGACGGGAGGCAUAUGCCACUACCUUCCCAUCCUGCAUCAGGACACACCCUAACCCUUGUCGAGAAGCGUCACAAUAAAUGACGAAGUCCCGCUGGAUAUCCGGUAGGGUUAACACUGGGGCGGUCGUUAAUCUUCUUUUCAGUUCCUGAAAACUCCUCUCACAUGCUUCAGUCCAAUUGAAUUUCUUGUCCUUCCUGAGUAGCUCUGUCAUAGGUCGGGCUAUCUUGGAGAAUCCUUCAAUGAACCUCCGAUAAUACCCAGCUAAACCAAGAAAACUCCUAAUUUCACUAACAUUGGUGGGUUGCUGCCAGUUGGAGACGGCUUCCACCUUCUCGGGGUCAACUGCUACUCCUUCUGUGGUCAAGAUGUGACCAAGAAAUGCCACCUUCUCUAGCCAAAACUCACAUUUACUGAAUUUAGCAUAGAGUCGGUGGGCUCUCAAUCUCUCCAGCACUACUCGCAGAUGUUGCUCAUGCUCUUGGACACUUUUGGAGUAAAUAAGUAUGUCGUCGAUAAAGACCACGACAAACUUGUCUAAUUCCUCCAUAAACACCUUGUUCAUGAGAUUCAUGAAAUAAGCAGGGGUAUUGGUCAGUCCAAAGGACAUCACUGUGAAUUCAAACUGGCCAUAUCGGGUAACAAAAGCUGUCUUCGGGAUAUCACUUUCCUUAAUCUUGAGCUGGUGGUACCCUGAUCUCAAAUCUAUUUUGGAGAAGUACUUGGCUCCUUUUAACUGGUCAAAUAGGUCAUCUAUUCUGGGAAGGGGGUAUUUAUUCUUGAUGGUGACCUCAUUUAGUGCGCGAUAAUCCACGCACAUCCUCAUGCUUCCAUCUUUCUUUUUGACAAAGAGCACUGGGGCUCCCCACGGGGAUGAGCUAGGUCUGAUAAAGCCACUCUGCUGCAGUUCACCUACCUGUUUCUUCAGCUCUGCUAACUCAGAUGCUGCCAUUCUAUAGGGCCUCUUGGCUAUAGGGGAGGUUCCAGGGAUAAGGUUGAUCACAAACUCUAUAUCUCUAUCCGGGGGCAUUCCAGGUAGUUCUUCAGGAAAAACAUCCGGGUAUUCACUCACUACCGGGACUCCUUCUAUGGCCUUGGCUUCCAUGCUAAAAACCAUUGGGUCGGGCCCACUUCCCCGGGUGUGGCAGGUCACUUGUACGCCAUCCUGAUUAAUUAGGCGCACUACCUUAUCAGCACAUCCUAUGUGUCCAUCAUGUAGGCUUAACCAAUCCAUUCCAAGGAUCACAUCUAUUCCUUUAGACUUAGUACUACUAGAUCUGCUAGGAAUUCUACCCCACUUAAAUUGAUCCUUACCCGGGAACAGCCUAGUCGACACUGGAUGUCGGCUCCAGGCGUUCGGGUUAUUAGGGGUACCUUUAGUAGUACUGUAGGUAUGUGGUGCUUAUCCACAAAGCUUGAUGAUAUAAAUGAAUGUGAUGCUCCAGAAUCGAAGAGUACUGUUGCCAAAACUGAGCUGACUAGAAACUCACCGAGUACAACGCCUUGAGCUUCCUGAGCCUCUUGCGCGCUGAUGUGGUUGACGCGGGCUCGUCCAAACGACUGCUGGGGCUGCCUCAUCUGCUGGCUGUUGUUGUUGUUGUUGCCGGGGUUGUUCCUGCGGACGGGAACACGGUUGGCUCCUGACACUGCUACCCUUGGCCCAGUCACUGCGUUGGAGAAGGCUGAUGCAGCUGGCUUGUUGGUGUAGGGGCAGUUGGCAAUGAAGUGCCUUGGCUCACGGCAGUUGAAACAUGCCCUGCCGUUGUUGGUGACUUGACUGGCGCUGUUCUGUGGGGCCUUGGCAGGAUUCUGACUUCUGAAUGGGGCAUUAGUCUGAUGGGAACCGGAGGCUUGAGACUGGGUCCGGUACUGCAUGGGAGCUUGGGACCUGGGCAUGGGGUGACCAAAGCUUCUUGGUUUCUGGAACCUGUCUUGCUGGUGGGCCUUGCUGUCCAGGAACCGGCGCUUGUUGUCCCUCCUCUCAUCUGCCUUGGCUCUCUCAGUCAGAAUGGCCAUGUUCAUCAGGGUGUUGAAGUCAGGGUAGAUCUGAGGAGUAAGCAGGGUCCUCAGUUCUGCGUUCAAGCCCUUCUUAAACAUGUCUUGCUUCUUCUCAUCCUUGUCUACUUCUUCUGGAGCAUAGCGAGCCAACUCCAUGAACUGAUAGGUGUACUCCUCCACGGACUUGUUGCCCUGGCGCAGUUCACGGAAUUCAUCCGCCUUGCGCUUCAUGGUAGCCACAGGAAUGUGAUAGCGGCGGAACUCUGUCACAAACUCAUCCCAGGUGAUAGUGGAGGCAUCCUGGGCGGCUGUGCAAUAGUUCUCCCACCAAGCUAGAGCAGUCCCAGUGAGCUGGUGUGCAGCCAGGAGAACCUUGUCCCUGCUCUCACAGCCGAAUGGCUCUAGCUUCCUCUGGAUGACCCGCAGCCAGUCAUCUGCGUCCAGGGGGUUGAUGGACCCACCAAAAGUGGGUGGCUUGGUGUGGAGGAAGUCGGUCAGCUUCUCAUUCAUACCCUGUCCGCGGGGCCUCUGGCGAGUGAUGGCAUUGGCCAAGGCUUCCAGCAGAAGGCUCUGGUUGUUCAUGACCUGUACCAAAUCAAUGACCGGUGGGGGCGGUGGCUCCUGUGCUCCCACUUGACUCUCCCCCCUGCCCUCAGGCUAAUUCACCUCUUGCUCCUCAUGGUGCACUAUUGGUGGGGGUCCCUGCCUUUCCUGCUGCCUUUCUGCACUAGGUGUGGCACGUGCUUGACUCGCGGAGGUCCUGGUGGCACGCUUGGGAGGCAUCUGCAGAUUGAGUGAACUUUCAUGAGACUUGGAUUUGGAUAUUAAGGUGAUGUUUAGUUAAUUAUUUCGAAUUUUCGAAGAGACAGAAUCCACCUCCUAUCGACAAGCACACAGACUAACAAACAACAAGCACAAAUGAUUUUAUUAUUUUGCCAGGGCGGUUACAACACUUGGGGUAGGGCCAAAACACGUGCUACACGACCGGUACAACAACACAACUGGGGGGUGUACAAAUCUAGACUCGGGGUAGCUUCUGGAGUACAACUCUGGACUACGGACCAUGAUUACUCCACUCCCUCGGGCAAACUCUGGGCUGGGCACUCUACUCGCGGGACGAAUCUGCACACUGCGCGGAGUGGUCUUCUGGCGGAAUAAGGAGGGCCAGCACCUCGUCUCUUAGGGUCCCACCUGCAGGAGGAGGUUCAUUGGCCACCUCAGAGUCCCUUUCCGAAGGCGGUGGUGCUGGUGUGGCAUUGGGGCUCUUCCGCUUUCCGGACCCCUGGGCAACAGGGACUCCAUCCAAUACUGGGGCCUCGUCGUCCUCCACGAUCCGCAUCUUCCUCCUCGUGCGGUUCGAAUGGUGGACUUCCUUCAGUGCCUGCGCGUGCCGGUCCUCGGCCUCUUUGAGGGCCUCGAUGGCGAGGGCCUCAUUGCUUUGGGCGGCCGCGGCUCGGGCUUCAGCUGCUGCCAAUCUCACCUGGAGCCUCCUCACCAUAACCUUGGCAUCCUCGGCUCUGCGGAUCUGCUGCUUCAAAUGGGCGGCCUGCUCAUCGCAGAGUUCAUCCAAAGUGAGGAGAUAGGCAGCCAUAUCGAGCACGGUGGGGUCAUCCUCGCGCUGUCCACGUCCUUCCAAAGUCCUCACCCGAGCCAGCCAAACCAGGCGGUUCUUCUUGACAGGCGGGUAGAACCUCAUUGGUGUGCGUCCGAUGUGCCUCUCAUAAAUUUGGCACAGGUAGCGCAGGGCUUUCCGAGCUGCCACCUGGUAAGUGUCUUUCCGCCGGAAACCAGUGGCAGACACAUUCCAAGGCUGAAUGUCGGGGAAGCGGCUGCUCCUGCCCACAAAGAUGGUCAUCUCGCACCGGAGAGUCCCACGGUCCUCAUACUCCCUGCUGGAGUACUCCGAGCACUCGUAAAUUCCGAGGCGGUCCAUGCAGGCGAACAGCAACUUGGGAAAAACCGGGCUCCUCUAGGCAGUGGCUGUUGGUCCAUCCUUCUUCGGCCAUCUGGAAAGAAUCGGGGUGUAAAUCAGUUUUGCAAUUGAGCAUGGAUAGCAAGAAAUUUUGUAAAACAUUUAAUUUGGUCGAAAAGGCUUUUCCGGUCCUAAUGGUUACGUCCUACGGCCAACGACGGCUCUGAUACCACCUGAAGCGUCCCCACAUAAGUAGAGACUAAAUGUGAUCCAAUUAUCAGUUCCAGGAGGCUGAUAACAUAUUUAUUCAACAGAUAGUUCAGAAACCGUACAACUCUCGAAGGAGCGGGCGGGCAAGCCACACCCAAAGCAAGACUAAAGCGAUAACAAUACAAAUCCAAGUUGCAGUCCAGUCGGACUCCGGGCUACAAUCGGAACUAAGCGUCAGCGGAAGCAUCCUGCAAAAGGGCCAACACCACAGGCAGCGUUGGGUGCAUACGCAACCUCCUACUUGAAGUCCUCGGCGACAAAGUCCGGAUCCUCCUCUGAAGUAACAACACAAGAGUGAGUACAAAAGUACUCAGCAAGUCCAACCCCAUCCACAGAGGGGGAUACAUCAAGAAUAUGCAUAUGAAUAAUCAAGGAAUAAGCUAUAGUUUUAUUUGCAGUAAAGCUGAUUUUUAAACACAUGCAGGGUUCCAUUUCAAAGAAGUUUCAUGAAAACAUUUUAGUAAACAACAUAUCAAGUGGGGUUGAUCCUACACAAAGGAUCCAAGUUUUAUCGCUACCGGACUCCCCGUCCGCCGUAGCGCACAGCACACCUGCCGGACACUUCCAAAAUUCCACACACCCACACACGCAGUAAAAUACCAGCCAUCCCUAAAAGCUAGUUGUGUGACCGAGCCGUAACUCGUCCAAUGCCGUGGACACGGCUACCCAGAUAGGUUUUAACUCUGCAGAGGUUGUACACUUUUCCCACAAGUAGGGUACCGUAUUGCGAUCACCUUAGUGAUGGUACGGAUCCUAACAAAGCCAUUACCCACCUUAGCCAACACUGACUAGUCAACACGGAAGCACUCAAGGGGUUAGCAACCCAUCCACGGGCGCACGGGCGGGCGAGGGCCGAUGCAAUGAUGGCGGCUGGACCUUUGGCCGGUGGCGUGCCGGAGUGGUGGAGCUCGUGGAUGGUGUGGCGGCGUGGUCGACGAGGCCACAGGAGCGGUGACCGGCGACCGGCGACACGACGCGACGCACCGAGCCAAGCGCUAGACGCCAAGGCGUGAGCGAGCGUGGCACGGGUGACGUGACGUGGCGGCGCGACGGCGCGUGGUGCGGCGCGGGCGGCGGCGGAGCGACGCGGCGCGGCGUGCGCGCGGGCACGCGGCCCGACGCGGCGCACGGCCCAGCGCGCGUGCCAGGCAGGGGAGGGGUGCAGGCGCAAGUGGGUGGGGUGCCAGGGAAAUAAAGGAGAGAGAGAAGAAAGAGGAAGGGAGAGGAGGAAGAAAGAGAAGGAAAAGGAGAAGGGAAAGAAAGAGGGAGAAAAAGAAAGAAGGAAGAGAAAGGGAGGAAAGGGAGGGGAAAAAGAUGACGAAAAUUGCGGGAUUCGACUGCGCGCGGUGAUGGACUUGACGGGCACGCGGUGAAAAUUACGGGGAGCGGAAAAAGGAGAGUUGACGAGCCGGGGCCAGGACGGCGGGUCCGACGGAAGGGAAAGGAUUUGACGGAGCUCGGCGGUCGGAAAAAUUUUGGAGAGUAUUUUUAACGGGCGAUUUAACUGGGUGUAUUUUACGGGCGUUACACUUUCGUGGUCAGUAAAGAUACGACAUUCACUACCUAAAAGGUAGUGCUGCCAUAUCUUUAAUGCAUGGACCAUAGCAGCAAGCUCCAAAUCAUGGGUAGGGUAAUGCUCUUCAUGGCGCUUUAGUUGUCGAGAAGCAUAAGCAAUGAGUCUACCUUCUUGCAUAAGAACACACCCUAUCCCUGUCCCUGAGGCGUCACAGUACACAUCAAAGGGUUUCUCUAAAUCAGGUUGAGCCAGUACUAGCACUGUAGUUAGUAGCUUCUUUAAUGUUUGAAAUGAUUUUUCACAUUCGGGGCUCCACCCAAAUUUCACUUCUUUCUUUAACAACUCCGUGAUUGGCUUGGAAAUUUUUAAGAAGUUGGGAAUGAACCUACGGUAAUACCCAGCCAUUCCUAAGAAACUCCUCACUUCAUGGAUAGAUGUUGGUGGUUUCCAAUCCAAUAUGUCCUUGACCUUUCCGGGAUCUGUUUCAAUUCCUUUUUCGGACAGAAUAUGCCCAAGGAAUGGAACUUUCUUUAACCAGAAUUCACAUUUACUAAACUUGGCAUAUAACUGGUGUUCCCGGAGUCUAUUUAGAACAUUACGCAAAUGCUGCGCAUGUUCCUCCUCAUUUUUAGAACAGACUAGGAUAUCAUCAAUAAAGAUGACCACGAAUUUGUCUAAUUCUGGCAUGAAUACUAAAUUCAUGAGAUACAUAAAAUGCGCUGGGGCAUUUUUUAGUCGGAAGGACAUAACCAAAUAUUCAUACAAUCCAUAUCGGGUUGAGAAGGCUGUCUUAGGUAUGUCUUCGGGCUUUAUCUUAAUCUGAUGAUAUCCUGACCGAAGGUCAAUUUUUGAAAAGACCUUGGCUCCAGCUAGUUGGUCGAACAACAAGUCGAUCCGUGGUAAUGGAUACUUGUUCUUAAUGGUUACCGCAUUCAAGGGGCGGUAAUCCACACACAACCUCAAUGUGCCAUCUUUCUUUUUAACAAACAGUGCAGGGCAGCCCCAUGGUGAAGUGCUAGGCUGGACAAAACCUUUAUCUAGUAAUUCUUGGAGUUGAACUUUUAAUUCUGCUAACUCCUUAGGUGGCAUUCGAUAUGGUCUUCUGGAGAUGGGAGCAGUACCAGGCUCUAACUCAAUAGUAAAUUCUACCGCUUUAUCAGGCGGUAAUCCAGGAAGAUCUUUCGGAAACACAUCUACAAACUCAUUAACCACAGGAAUAGAUUCUAGAGUCACCGCUCUAGUCUUUUUAACCAUCUUGUCCAGACAAGGACGAGCGGGUAAUUGGAGCUUAAAAGGGUGGCCUCGGUCGUCCCUUAUACUAACGAUCCGGUUAUCCAUAUCAAUUUGAACUUUAUGUUCUUUCAUCCAAUUUAACCCCAAAAUAAUAUCUAUUCCUUGGACUUCCAAGAUUAAAGGAUAAGCACCCACCUUAUUUCCUUCUAAAUUCAAAGUCACAUUGCAAGCUACCUGAUUUGUAUUUUGAGUAGCUCCAGUAGCUUGAAUGGCAUAUUUGAUGUUUAAGGUAUGUACUUCUAAUUGGUGUUGCUUAACAAACUCUCUACUUAUAAAAGUAUGUGAUGCACCUGAAUCAAACAGAACCAUGGCAGGGUAGUCAUUGACAAGGAACGUACCUACCAGAAUAGGUUCGCCUUCUGGAAUCUCCUCUACAUUCAUAUAGUGUGCUUGUCCCGUCUUGGUAUUCAAAAAUUUGUGGUGAACAAACUAUUGACCGGCACCCUGGCCAGAGGUUUGAGCCUUCAUAUUCACGUUUCCCCCAACUUUGGGAAAACGACAAUCCCAGGCAAAGUGUCCCGGCUUUCCACAAUUAAAACAAACUUGUGGGUUCCCCAGAGGAGUAGGACUGCGAAACCUAAGAGGUAGCGCACUUACAGGUCAAGGAAUAUUAGUAGGAUUUCUGAUAUUCCAGGGCUGAAAUGGCCUCUGCUGUAAAGAAGGCCGAUAAGCGGGUCGAGGAGGGCCCCGGUAUACCACCUUCAUCCUCUGCGGGGCGUUCCCGAAGGUUCCAAAAGAAGUAUUCUUUCUCUUCAAAGAUUCUUCUCUCUUCAAGGUUUCAUCUAAAAUUCUCAUUUUCUCUUCUGCGGUAAUAGCCACGCUUACCGCAGAACUAUAGUCGGCAAAGGUGCAGGUAGACAACUUCUCCUGCAUUCGUGCAUUGAGCCCACGGAGAUAACAUUCCCUCUUUCUGGACUCCGUGUUAACAUGUUCUAGAGCAUACUAGGCCAAGUGAUCAAACUCAUUUGUGUAAUCCAGAAUACUACGAUUCCCUUGCUGUAGCCCCAGAAACUGCUCCAGCUUCAUUCGCAUAAUCCCUUCCAGUACAAACUGCGUUCGGAAAGCUUCCUUGAAAUUUUCACAAGUGACCACCCUUCCAACAGGUUGCCUCGCCAAAUAGCUAGUCCACUAGGUCCCGGCGGGACCUUGGAGUUGGAGCCCGGCAAACUCCGCCUUCUGGGUGGUGGUGCGUUGUGAAAUCACCCGGAAUUUCUGUUCCAUUGUCUAAAGCCAUUCAUUCGCCUUUAGUGGGUGCUCGGCUUUCAGAAAUAUCGGAGGACGAGUUUCCAGAAAUUGGGUGUAAGAUACACCACGUUCUGGGUCCCGUCUGUUCCCACUAUUUCCAGUGUUCUGCACAAUCAUCUGAAGCAGUUGAGCUUGUUCAGCUCCUGAAUUCAUGAGGCUGGCUAUGGCAUCAGCCAGCGUUGGGGCCCUGGGUAAAUUUUCUUCGUGGCCCCCUGACCCUGAAGCCCGAGGACCUCUCGGAUCCGUCAUUCUGCCAAAAUCAAACAGAGUAUUAAUAUCUAAGCCAUAGUUUGUCAGCAGUUCCAUGAGCAUGCUUGUGUUUCAUACAUAACAACACAACCAUUGUAGUUACACACAAACCACACUUAUAUACAUUAUUAUUUAUAUUACAUGAACUGGAGUUUAAUUUUUACAAAGCAACCUCACUACACCGUCCCACCGCUUUUAUCUUACAUAAAUACACCACAACAUUCCUUGGUCAUGAUCUUUCCUCAAACAUCAUAGGGAUAAAUGCCCAGCUCUGCAGCAUUAUCCCUAAUCGUGCCAUUGCAGCCUGCAGAACAUCCUGAUCCACCGUCAUCAAUGUUUGUCCUGGAGGAGCGACAGGUGGAGGCUGAUUCACUGAGUUCUCACUCUCUGACUCUGGUCCGGGAUCGCUUGAGGUAUAGGAGGUAUAUGAUGUGGAGGUGCUGACACCAGAAUUUCCUUCCAUUUCUUCUAGAUCUUCUUCUUCUUCCUCACCUUCUUGCUCGGCUUCACCCCACUGUUGCAUAGGUCCAUAGCCUUAUGGAUCUAACCCAUCUGCAUUUGCAUCGGCCCAUGCAAAGUGAUGGUUUUCAAUUGGAGCUUCACCCAGAUUAUCUUCCAUGUCAAUAUCGAACCCUUCUAAAUUCUCGUGGGUGUACAAGUCGAUCUCGGGAGCUGCAGGUGGAGCUAUGUUACCCUCAACACCCACAACAUCCACCAAUUGAUUUGCUUCUUCUAGGUCUAGCGGUUGUGGUUCUUCUGGUGGUGGAGGCGGUGGAACAUUUACUAUGUUCUGAGCAGGUACUUGAGCCUGCAUUUCUUCUAAAGCCAGACGAAGAGAUAAUAUUUCAUCCAGCUGCUGAAAUCUCUCCACCUCGAGUCUAUUAACAUUUGAUUCAGCUAGUUCUUUUGCCCUCUCCGCCAUAUUUCUACUAGCAUCCAUGAAUUCCUUCAUUGUCCUGAGCUUUUCUUCAUAUUCAUCUAUCCUUCUGGACUGUUCUCUCAUAAUCUUUUCCAUAUCAUGUUCCCUAGCCAGUGCUGCUUUCUUGUAUAAUUCUUUAUCAUGCCUGGCACCCAUUACCUCCAUCUUGACAUCCUCAUUCCUCUUUCUCUAAUUAUAAUAUUCCUUGAUGCAGGAUUGAUGCAGGUUAUACAUAGCAGUCAUAUAGUCGGAGGCAGCAACAACCACAACGUCAUGCUCCACGCGAGAGGAAUUCUUCAAUGCUUUGAUCCUCCUUUUCCAAAUCCCAUCAUCUUGAUGCUUUAUGGGAUAGAAUCGAGCAGAGCUCGACCCUAUUUCCACCUUAUGUUUCUCGCAUAAGUCCGUGAGGGCGGUCAUAGCUGCCCUUUCAAUUGUAUCAUUGAACUCGAAACCCUGCUCCAUAACUUCAUCAAGAUGCCAGUUAGGGUUUGUGUCUUCAUCUGGGAUAUGGACAUAAACAGUACAACACUGCUUAUGAUAGGUGUCCUCCUUCCUCCAAUAAUACUCCGGAGGGUUAUGAAAGCCCAGUUCUUGCAGUGUUUUCCACAACAACUGUACAAACUCGGGCUUGUCCAGGUAAUGCCCCCGGGUCAAUCCGUCCUGAUCUGUAUAUCCUUCUUGAAACAUCCUAUAAAAGAAACGGGGUUAGGUCUAACGGCACUCACCAAACCCAAAAGUUUUUAAAACAUGCUUAUGCAACAUGAAGCAAUGAUUCCUACGUACUCUCAAACUCAUAUACACACUCGUAAAAAAAAUUGGUGGCAUCAUAAUCUCUCCCUAAUAAUAUACUAUCGAGUACUAGCGACACGCAACAAACAGUUAGUAUCUGCAAAACAAACAACCAGUUAACACUACUACCACCUAUGACUCAUAUUUUCUUCAUUUAAAAUAGAGUCUCAGUUUUUAAACAGUAAUAUCUGUUGAUUAUCCCAGUUUAUGGCUCUGAUACCAGCUGUGGCGGAACUGCACAACUUAAACUAGUUUAAAUGCGCCUAAUCGCUGUCGGGACAACAACUAUCCAAAACGCACUUAAAACAGUAUAGGUCCGGUAGUCCGUCGAGUGUCCCUAGGACUCCUCGAAAGAUCCGCGUCGCGUCUCAUAGCCAUACACUAGGAUCGCUUCCACGAUGGGAAAGCAUCAACAAAUAUUAUAUUUUUACAUACAUACAUGAGCUACGAGUUAUUACAGAACGUAGUUUGAAAUAAACUUAACAGUGCAGCUCAGAGAGAUUCUAGGAGUUUAAAACAUAAACUGGUUCAGGUGGGAGAUGAGCAUUUAAGUUUUCUUCUGAGGGUAUUGCGAGACUCGUAACAAUACCCUAGUUUUUCGGGGGCUUCCUCCUCUGCGGACUCCUGCGGUGCUUCUGAAAUAGCCACAAGGGACAACCCUGAGUACGGGGUACUCAGCAAUGCUUACCCGACUAACCAAUAUAAUAGUUUUUCAGGGACUACAUGAUAGCUGUUCAGUGUACUGGCUGACACACUUUUUGCCAAAAGAGCUUACUAAAAAGUGAGACCUUAGCUUUAUCUUUGAACUCAAUUAAGUUAUUACCUAACCAAUCUAAAUGAUGACGAAAAGAUACUUUGCAAGCAGUAAGAUAUUAAGUCAUACAUGAAAUUUUUAUUAAAAAGAUAUUGCAUUCAUGAAAUUAUACUACAAUGCUCAACAGUGAUCAAGUGCAUUCAUAACCGAGAAUUGCGGCGAUCCGGAUCAAUUUACAUCCUGCAGGAGAGCACCCUGAUCACCAUCUAAGUACGAUUGUCCGAGUCGUACGUAACGACCUUUCGAUUAGCAAACCCAAGUAUUAGGAAUAAUACUACCCGAACCCAGGGACGCACCCCCACAUGGGACCCCAUGUCUGGCCUGAUCUCCAUGUGAGUUUCAGGCUACGCCCCUACCAUUCUCCAGCACGUCAAGUACGGGUACGAAAUAUUCCCGAUCAGAGAGUCUACUAACCUACCGAGCUUUACUGGUCCCAUACCCAGUAAGUAACUAGGUGUCAUUCACUUGAUCAAAGGUUAAGACAAUGAUCGAGCCUUAACCAGAUUAAACUAGCAGACAGAACUAACAUCUCUAGCUUCUGCCUGCCUUUCAACUUCCAAGCUACCUUUCCAUAAUUAGCAUGUAUGACCCAACAUUUCACCUUAAGGUUUGGUAACCAAGUUACUUUCAGCAUCUAAGCAUUUCUAAAUUUGGGUUACUUACGAAUUGUUUGAACAAGUGGCAAAGAUGUCCUUAAACAAGGUAAGAUCAUGCACAAGAAUGGGUUUCAAUCAACUCCUAGACUUAAUGCAUUCAUAUAGAAAAUAAUCGAUAAUUGGACACAUAAUAAUAAUACCAAAAUAGAUAGGUAUAAAUGCACCGGGGCUUGCCUUGAUCUAUAAAAAUGUUAGCACUGUCCGACGGAUUGGCUUCGUAGGGGACCAAUUCAACGAUCUCCUCAAACUCCGAAGAUCCUUCUGAUAAAUCCAAGAAUUCCUCUUCAGGUGCUUCGGUGUCUAUGAUAUAGCAUAUGCAUGGGUUAGUGAUGCAACCUUUUGAAUAUAAGACUAUACAACUUUCCUUCAUGAUAAAGUUGCAAGCCAACAAGGGACUACACAAUUUAUCAUGAUAAAGUUGCAAGCCAACACACAAAAACCCGAAAAGAUUAACCCACCAUUUUUAUUUUCUUUACUAAUCCUACCUUAGGCUUUUUCUUUUAUUUUUGGAAAUUAUUAGAAUUAUUUUCUAGUCUCAAACCUAAUUUCCUAUGGGUUAAUAAUAGUUUGUGACUAUGAAAACAUUAUUUCAUAUUUCAUACAUUUAAUAAAGAUUAAGUAUUUAUUUAAAUACCUUAAUGAAAGGGCAUUAAACAAAUACCUAAGUUUUUAUUAUUUUUCCUAGGGUAUAAGAAUUUUAAUGCAUAAAGGAAAAUAAAACAAUCCUAACAAAAUUGGUUUCACUAAUUUUGGACACUCCUAGAAAUUUCUGUGAUUUAAAAGGUGAUAAAUGAAUUUAAGCUAUUAUUCUAACAAAAGGAAAUCUAAAUUUUUCCCAGAAACCCCCGGCCUUACUUUUCUCACUCACCCCCUCUCUACCCUCUCUCACUCGCACUGGACCCGCGACUUGGGUCCACCUUCUUCUCCUAUUCCCUCUACCCGCCGGCCAUUUCUCUUCUAUCGGGCCUACUAGGCCGAUUCCUC
RNAcentral lists this long non-coding RNA (21262 nucleotides) under Setaria viridis. RNAcentral describes it as "long non-coding RNA (SVIR_LNC003197)". The record is from RNAcentral. Lineage: Eukaryota; Viridiplantae; Streptophyta; Magnoliopsida; Poales; Poaceae.